This 450-nucleotide ribosomal RNA is filed under the name uncultured bacterium. RNAcentral describes it as "bacterial SSU rRNA". It matches the Rfam family "Bacterial small subunit ribosomal RNA", at positions 354 to 796 of the family's 1533-position model. The record is from RNAcentral.
GUGGGGAAUUUUGGACAAUGGGCGCAAGCCUGAUCCAGCAAUGCCGCGUGCGGGAAGAAGGCCUUCGGGUUGUAAACCGCUUUUGUACGGAACGAAAAGGCUCUGGCUAAUACCUGGGGCUGAUGACGGUACCGUAAGAAUAAGCACCGGCUAACUACGUGCCAGCAGCCGCGGUAAUACGUAGGGUGCGAGCGUUAAUCGGAAUUACUGGGCGUAAAGCGUGCGCAGGCGGUCUUGUAAGACAGAGGUGAAAUCCCUGGGCUCAACCUAGGAAUGGCCUUUGUGACUGCAAGGCUGGAGUGCGGCAGAGGGGGAUGGAAUUCCGCGUGUAGCAGUGAAAUGCGUAGAUAUGCGGAGGAACACCGAUGGCGAAGGCAGUCCCCUGGGCCUGCACUGACGCUCAUGCACGAAAGCGUGGGGAGCAAACAGGAUUAGAUACCCGGGUAGUCC